RNAcentral lists this ribosomal RNA (451 nucleotides) under uncultured bacterium. RNAcentral describes it as "partial 16S ribosomal RNA". It matches the Rfam family "Bacterial small subunit ribosomal RNA", at positions 30 to 523 of the family's 1533-position model. The record is from RNAcentral.
AUUGAACGCUGGCGGCAGGCUUAACACAUGCAAGUCGAGCGGGCGUAGCAAUACGUCAGCGGCAGACGGGUGAGUAACGCGUGGGAACGUGCCCUUUGGUUCGGAACAACACAGGGAAACUUGUGCUAAUACCGGAUAAGCCCUUACGGGGAAAGAUUUAUCGCCGAAGGAUCGGCCCGCGUCUGAUUAGCUUGUUGGUGAGGUAACGGCUCACCAAGGCUACGAUCAGUAGCUGGUCUGAGAGGAUGAUCAGCCACACUGGGACUGAGACACGGCCCAGACUCCUACGGGAGGCAGCAGUGGGGAAUAUUGGACAAUGGGGGCAACCCUGAUCCAGCCAUGCCGCGUGAGUGAUGAAGGCCCUAGGGUUGUAAAGCUCUUUCGGCGGGGAAGAUAAUGACGGUACCCGCAUAAGAAGCCCCGGCUAACUUCGUGCCAGCAGCCGCAGUAA